AUGCAUCAGUCAAUGAAAGUCAUACAAUGGUCAUACACCACUCCCACGCUAACCAUGCAUCAGUCAAUGAGAGUCAAACAUUGCCCGUGCGUUGUUCGGCUGCGAAACGGGCACUGCCCAGUCUCCAGUAAUUCAGAAGCUUCUUUUGGCCGCCUGCUGGCUCCGCCUUCACACACACGCGCCUCCAUCAACGUGCCCGUCGCCCCCGCGGUACUGCGUUCCCGCCGAGCACCUCCUACUCCGCGCGGCAGCCAGCCCUCGUGCUGCUCCAACCACGCGCCUGAGCCGCGCUUCCUCUCACGUCCGUGCCCCGCUCCGCUGGGCCGCCCGCGUGCCGGCCGACUGCUGCUCGGGCCGGCUGCCGGCUUCCUGCGCCAGGUCCGGUCUCCUCCCGCGUUACUCCAUGUGCCCCGCUCCGCCGGGUUCCUACCGCAGCGCCCUCGCAGCCGGCGCGGCUCGAGUCGCCUCAGCACUCGACCUCCGCAUCCGGGCUCGCGCCGCUCCAGCCGGCUCCGCGUGCACGCACCACGUUGCCACUCCGAAACGCGUCCACUCCGCCGUCUGCGCCCCUGCACCCGGCCGCCGACUUCUGCGCCCGUUGCCUGUGCCGCCUACGCCCGGUCUGGUCGACCUCACUCACUAGGCUUCACCGGGCCGCCUCCCGUAAGCCGGCUCCGGCCCCUCGCGCCGACUAUGCUACCGGCGUCCGGGUCGCCCUCUCCUCCGCGGCGCCCCGCCGUCGUCCGCCCGCGCCACCGCGGGCCGCCACGCUGCUGCUCUCCUCCGCCUGGGGCCGCAUGGCCGCACGCCUGUGGCCUCCCCGUCACCCUGCCGGAUGCGCCUCGCGCCGGUUGUGCCCCGCGCCGCCUGCUGCGGCCAGUCGACCCCGCUGCAGCCGGCAACUGCGCGCACAGCCGGCUCCCCCGCUCCCGCUGCGCCGGCUGCAGGGCCGCGCCGCCUCCCCGCGCCGGCUCGGCCGCGCGUGUUCACCUCAGCCCGACCAUGCUGCCGCAUCGUCCGCUGCGCCGGCUGCGGCUCCCCGCCACCCGGCCUCCGCCAGCUCCGCGCCCAUGCCGCUUGCUCAUCACCGCCUCGCGCCUCCCGGCCGCGCCGGCUCCGCCUUCCUCUGCCAAACGGCGCUCCACUCCGCGCCGUGCCUAG
This 1161-nucleotide ribosomal RNA is filed under the name Triticum aestivum (bread wheat). RNAcentral describes it as "partial small subunit ribosomal RNA". Lineage: Eukaryota; Viridiplantae; Streptophyta; Magnoliopsida; Poales; Poaceae. The record is from RNAcentral.